Molecule: non-coding RNA, 868 nt
Organism: Pantherophis guttatus
Lineage: Eukaryota; Metazoa; Chordata; Lepidosauria; Squamata; Colubridae
Source: RefSeq, a predicted model, not a curated record
GCCCGGGGCUGGUGGGUGCCGAGAUGGGCGGCUGCUCCGAGCCGGCCAAGGCUUAGGAGGCAUCCGCGGGAGACCCGGUGCUGGGGCAGCUCAGGGCUGGAGGCUGCAAUGCUGGCCAUUUCCACAGAUCUGAAAGCUGCCGAGGUUGGAUAGCCGCGAUCUCCCGUCUCUCCCUGGAAUUCCCCCCGGAAACGCCAAAAUGCAAGGGAUGUUUUUGUGAACCCCCGUCUGAUGCCCAUUCCCCACCCCGGCUCACCAAGAUGAAAAGACCUCGCAGGCCUUGGGAAGGAGGCAGCCAGCACAGGGAGGCAGGCCUGACAUUGAGUGACCCCGGAUCCUGGACUCUCCAAUCCCAGCCCAACCGCUUGUCAGAACUACCGUCUUGAGCUUCAGCCUCAGCCUCCCUUUAUUAGAUGCCAGUCGGCCACAAAGUAUGGGAGGAGGGAAUUGCUGUGCUCCAGGGGAACGGGGGGAACCGAAACUAUGCAUCACGCCGUCCUGAGACAUCGACUCAUCGCUCCAAAGCCAAAGGCCUGAAAGGGGAAGUACAAGGCUCACCAGCGCAGAGAAGAGCAAGAAAGAGGAUGAGGGGACUGGAGGCUAAAAGAUAUGAAGAAUGGUUGCUGGAACUGGGCAGGUCUAGUCUAGACAAAAGAAGGGUUUACAUAAGGUUUACUAAACUGGAUAAGCAAAUACUAUUAUUAUUAUUUGAUCAUUAAUGUUAUUAUUAUAUUAUAUAUAAUAAUAUAAUUAUAUUACUACUACUUCUUAAAAUUAACUGUACCCAGACAACACCCUGUUUAUGUAAUUGUUACAUUGAAUUGUUACAUUGAAUAAAUUGAAUUGUUUAUGUUUAAUUUAAAAAAAA